RNAcentral lists this ribosomal RNA (617 nucleotides) under Torulaspora delbrueckii. RNAcentral describes it as "eukaryotic LSU rRNA". It matches the Rfam family "Eukaryotic large subunit ribosomal RNA", at positions 39 to 669 of the family's 3401-position model. Lineage: Eukaryota; Fungi; Ascomycota; Saccharomycetes; Saccharomycetales; Saccharomycetaceae. The record is from RNAcentral.
CAUAUCAAAAAGCGGAGGAAAAGAAACCAACCGGGAUUGCCUUAGUAACGGCGAGUGAAGCGGCAAAAGCUCAAAUUUGAAAUCUGGUACCUUCGGUGCCCGAGUUGUAAUUUGUAGAAGGUAACUUUGGGGCUGGUCCUUGUCUAUGUUCCUUGGAACAGGACGUCAUAGAGGGUGAGAAUCCCGUGUGGCGAGGAUCCCAGUUCUUUGUAAAGUGCUUUCGAAGAGUCGAGUUGUUUGGGAAUGCAGCUCUAAGUGGGUGGUAAAUUCCAUCUAAAGCUAAAUAUUGGCGAGAGACCGAUAGCGAACAAGUACAGUGAUGGAAAGAUGAAAAGAACUUUGAAAAGAGAGUGAAAAAGUACGUGAAAUUGUUGAAAGGGAAGGGCAUUUGAUCAGACAUGGUGUUUUGCGCCCUCUGCUCCUUGUGGGUGGGGGAAUCUCGCAGCUCACUGGGCCAGCAUCAGUUUUGGCGGCAGGAUAAAUCUGCAGGAAUGUAGCUUGCCUCGGUAAGUGUUAUAUCCUGUAGAAAUACUGCCAGCUGGGACUGAGGACUGCGACUUUACGUCAAGGAUGCUGGCAUAAUGGUUAUAUGCCGCCCGUCUUGAAACACGGACCAC